Molecule: ribosomal RNA, 395 nt
Filed under: uncultured bacterium
Lineage: Bacteria
Description: bacterial SSU rRNA
Rfam family: Bacterial small subunit ribosomal RNA
Source: RNAcentral
AUUGAACGCUGGCGGCAUGCUUUACACAUGCAAGUCGAACGGUAACAGGCCUUCGGGUGCUGACGAGUGGCGAACGGGUGAGUAAUGCAUCGGAACGUGCCCAAUCGUGGGGGAUAACGUAGCGAAAGUUACGCUAAUACCGCAUAAGCCCUGAGGGGGAAAGUGGGGGACCGCAAGGCCUCACGCGAAUGGAGCGGCCGAUGUCAGAUUAGCUAGUUGGUGGGGUAAAGGCCCACCAAGGCGACGAUCUGUAGCGGGUCUGAGAGGAUGAUCCGCCACACUGGGACUGAGACACGGCCCAGACUCCUACGGGAGGCAGCAGUGGGGGAAUUUUGGACAAUGGGCGCAAGCCUGAUCCAGCCAUGCCGCGUGCGGGACGAAGGCCUCGGUUGUAA